This 101-nucleotide ribosomal RNA is filed under the name uncultured bacterium. RNAcentral describes it as "partial 16S ribosomal RNA". It matches the Rfam family "Bacterial small subunit ribosomal RNA", at positions 1384 to 1482 of the family's 1533-position model. The record is from RNAcentral.
UACACACCGCCCGUCACACCAUGGGAGUUGGCUUUACUUGAAGGCGGUGCGCUAACCCGCAAGGGAGGCAGCCGACCACGGUAGGGUCAGCGACUGGGGUG